ACCGGGGUUGCGGACAGUGUCUGGUGGGUAGUUUGACUGGGGCGGUCUCCUCCCAAAGCGUAACGGAGGAGCACGAAGGUUAGCUAAUCCUGGUCGGACAUCAGGAGGUUAGUGCAAUGGCAUAAGCUAGCUUGACUGCGAGCGUGACGGCGCGAGCAGGUGCGAAAGCAGGUCAUAGUGAUCCGGUGGUUCUGAAUGGAAGGGCCAUCGCUCAACGGAUAAAAGGUACUCCGGGGAUAACAGGCUGAUACCGCCCAAGAGUUCAUAUCGACGGCGGUGUUUGGCACCUCGAUGUCGGCUCAUCACAUCCUGGGGCUGAAGUAGGUCCCAAGGGUAUGGCUGUUCGCCAUUUAAAGUGGUACGCGAGCUGGGUUUAGAACGUCGUGAGACAGUUCGGUCCCUAUCUGCCGUGGGCGCUGGAGAAUUGAGGGGGGCUGCUCCUAGUACGAGAGGACCGGAGUGGACGCAUCACUGGUGUUCGGGUUGUCAUGCCAAUGGCACUGCCCGGUAGCUAAAUGCGGAAGAGAUAAGUGCUGAAAGCAUCUAAGCACGAAACUUGCCCCGAGAUGAGUUCUCCCUGAGACU
Molecule: ribosomal RNA, 585 nt
Filed under: Klebsiella pneumoniae
Lineage: Bacteria; Pseudomonadati; Pseudomonadota; Gammaproteobacteria; Enterobacterales; Enterobacteriaceae
Also listed under: 1 other name
Description: bacterial LSU rRNA
Rfam family: Bacterial large subunit ribosomal RNA
Source: RNAcentral